Paramormyrops kingsleyae is the source of this 801-nucleotide non-coding RNA. Lineage: Eukaryota; Metazoa; Chordata; Actinopteri; Osteoglossiformes; Mormyridae. The record is from RefSeq and is a predicted model, not a curated record.
UAUCUAUUUAUCCCGGGGGGAUAUACUGGAACAGAUCGAUGAUAUCAUGCUUAAGGGGGUUACAGCAGAGAACAUCAAGGGACUUAAACUGGCAAUUUUCAGGUUACAAAUCUGUCGUUAAUCACCUUAGCCAUGCUCUUAACCACUACACUAUGACGCUGCCUCCUUUAUGGCAUUUAAUAUUUCUUUUUGCAUUUUCUGAGCAUAAAUUUGGCUACUCUAAAUAUUUAAAAUAACUAUUAACAUAAAAUCUAUAUUUUUGGCUUUCCAUACAUUUUCCAUUAUCCUCAUAACUUUCAGCUCCUGGUUACAAAAUACUGCAGCCAUCAAGCCCUCGGCUCCUCUCAGCCUUCUUACUCUCCCCGUCGCUUCUUUGCAUCACUUCGAAGAUCCCUUGUCGACGCGAACCGCUAAUGAAGAUUCAAUUUUCAGCGUCAAGUAUGCCGGAAAUCAGGAUGGAGCCCAAGAGAAAGGGGCGACAGCGAGUCACGCUUCUGCCUGCGCAGGGACAGCGAGAGCGCACUGACCGCUACGAGAUAUGGGGAGAGGAGAAGAGCGAGAUUAUUGAGAGCAGAAAUGUGCAGGCAUGCAGAAAGGCAAGUCUUACCCAGUAGUGUAGCGACGCAGGCAAGGAUGGCCAGCAGGGCGGCAGUGCUGAGUCCAGCUCUAGCACCCCCCCUCAGGCAAGGGCAAAUGGACACGGUGACUGUCCCAGUACUGGUCAGACCCGAGAAACUGUCUUUCAGGACCAGGGGCACUUGCAGUGUGAAUGGGGAAGAUGCCGAGCGAGACAGGGGUAUC